GUACACACCGCCCGUCGCUACUUCCGAUCGAAUUGCUUAGUGAGGCCUCCGGAUUGGGGCAUUAGUCUCGAGAAGCUGGUCAAACUUGGUAAUUUAGAGGAAGUAARAGUCGUAACAAGGUUUCCGUAGGUGAACCUGCAGAAGGAUCA
RNAcentral lists this ribosomal RNA (149 nucleotides) under uncultured eukaryote. RNAcentral describes it as "partial small subunit ribosomal RNA". The record is from RNAcentral.